RNAcentral lists this ribosomal RNA (673 nucleotides) under uncultured fungus. RNAcentral describes it as "eukaryotic LSU rRNA". The stretch from base 283 to 436 matches the Rfam family "5.8S ribosomal RNA". Lineage: Eukaryota; Fungi. The record is from RNAcentral.
AAAGUCGUAACAAGGUUUCCGUAGGUGAACCUGCGGAAGGACCAUUAAUGAAAUAAAUUCUGUCAAGUUGUUGCUGGUCUUUAGGGGCAAUGUGCACACUUGACUCAAUUUUACUUAACCACCUGUGCACUCUUUGUAGACUUGGGGAUUUUGUUACUCAAUUUUAAAAAUUGGAUUUGAGGAUUGAAAUGUCUUUCCUUUUAUUUUAAAUUCCCAAGUCUAUGUUUUUCAUAUACACUUUUGUUAAAACAAGUCAAAUGGAAAUGAUAAUAACUUUAAUACAACUUUCAACAACGGAUCUCUUGGCUCUCGCAUCGAUGAAGAACGCAGCGAAAUGCGAUAAGUAAUGUGAAUUGCAGAAUUCAGUGAAUCAUCGAAUCUUUGAACGCACCUUGCACUUCUUGGUAUUCCGAGGAGUAUGCCUGUUUGAGUGUCAUGUAAUUAUCAAUCCAUAAAUUCUUUGUUUAUGGAUUGGACUUGGGAUUUUGCUGGUUUUUAAUCACAAAAAAUCAGCUAUCCUUAAAUACAUUAGUAGGACCUUUCCGGGUCAUUAGAUUGGUGUGAUAAUUAUCUGCAUCAUGAUAAUGAUCCAACUUGAUGUCCAGCUUUCUAACAAAACCCAUAUUUUGAUAUAUUUGACCUCAAAUCAGGUAGGACUACCCGCUGAACUUAA